UGGGACGUUCUACGUCAGUUGGUGGCUUGU
This 30-nucleotide non-coding RNA is filed under the name Mus musculus (house mouse). Lineage: Eukaryota; Metazoa; Chordata; Mammalia; Rodentia; Muridae. The record is from RNAcentral.